CUACGGGUUGCUGCAGUGGGGAAUAUUGGACAAUGGGGGAAACCCUGAUCCAGCAAUGCCGCGUGUGUGAAGAAGGCCUGCGGGUUGUAAAGCACUUUCGGUUGGGAGGACUGCUUCUAGCACUAAUAUUGUUGGAAGUUGACGUUACCUUCAGAAGAAGCACCGGCUAACUCCGUGCCAGCAGCCGCGGUAAUACGGAGGGGGCAAGCGUUAAUCGGAAUUACUGGGCGUAAAGCGCGCGUAGGCGGCUAGAUCAGUCGGGUGUGAAAGCCCCGGGCUUAACCUGGGAACUGCAUCCGAUACUGUCUAGCUUGAGUACAGGAGAGGGGAGUGGAAUUCCACAUGUAGCGGUGAAAUGCGUAGAUAUGUGGAGGAACACCAAUGGCGAAGGCAGCUCUCUGGCCUGAUACUGACGCUGAGGUGCGAAAGCGUGGGGAGCAAACAGGAUUAGAUACCCUCGUAGUC
This 465-nucleotide ribosomal RNA is filed under the name uncultured bacterium. RNAcentral's name for it is "partial 16S ribosomal RNA". It matches the Rfam family "Bacterial small subunit ribosomal RNA", at positions 339 to 795 of the family's 1533-position model. The record is from RNAcentral.